CAUAUACUCCCUCUGAUCCAUAUUAAUUGUCUCAAAUUUGCCGAAAUAUGAAUGUAUCUGUGUCUAAAAUGCGUCUAGAUACAUGUAAUAUUUCGACAAUUAAUAUGGAUCGGAGGGAGUACUAU
Molecule: non-coding RNA, 125 nt
Organism: Brachypodium distachyon (stiff brome)
Lineage: Eukaryota; Viridiplantae; Streptophyta; Magnoliopsida; Poales; Poaceae
Source: Rfam